RNAcentral lists this ribosomal RNA (135 nucleotides) under Triticum aestivum (bread wheat). RNAcentral describes it as "partial small subunit ribosomal RNA". The stretch from base 62 to 134 matches the Rfam family "tRNA". From Rfam's summary of the family: Transfer RNA (tRNA) molecules are approximately 80 nucleotides in length. Their secondary structure includes four short double-helical elements and three loops (D, anti-codon, and T loops). Further hydrogen bonds mediate the characteristic L-shaped molecular structure. tRNAs have two regions of fundamental functional importance: the anti-codon, which is responsible for specific mRNA codon recognition, and the 3' end, to which the tRNAs corresponding amino acid is attached (by aminoacyl-tRNA synthetases). tRNAs cope with the degeneracy of the genetic code in two manners: having more than one tRNA (with a specific anti-codon) for a particular amino acid; and 'wobble' base-pairing, i.e. permitting non-standard base-pairing at the 3rd anti-codon position. Lineage: Eukaryota; Viridiplantae; Streptophyta; Magnoliopsida; Poales; Poaceae. The record is from RNAcentral.
AUGAGACAACCCACCAUAUAUCAAUUAAUGGAGCGUUUGGAUUAUUGGAGUUAUCCUGGAUGCCCCUAUCGUCUAGUGGUUCAGGACAUCUCUCUAUCAAGGAGGCAGCGGGCAUUCGACUUCCCCUGGGGGUAG